Molecule: ribosomal RNA, 146 nt
Filed under: Penaeus vannamei (Pacific white shrimp)
Lineage: Eukaryota; Metazoa; Arthropoda; Malacostraca; Decapoda; Penaeidae
Description: partial 18S ribosomal RNA
Source: RNAcentral
AGCCGCUACCGCCUCGCCGCAGCGCCUCGGGUCGACGGAAAGGUGUCCAAGCCUGGGUCGACGGAAAGGUGUCCAAGCCUGGGUCAUUUAGAGGAAGUAAAAGUCGUAACAAGGUUUCCCGUAGUGAACCUGCCGGAAGGAUUCAU